Molecule: ribosomal RNA, 253 nt
Filed under: uncultured bacterium
Lineage: Bacteria
Description: partial 16S ribosomal RNA
Rfam family: Bacterial small subunit ribosomal RNA
Source: RNAcentral
GACGAACCGUGCGAACGUUGUUCGGAUUCACUGGGCUUAAAGGGCGCGUAGGCGGCUUGCCAAGUCAGGGGUGAAAUCUUUCGGCUCAACCGGAAAAUGGCCCCUGAUACUGGCGGGCUGGAGGAGGGUAGGGGCAGAUGGAACUUCCGGUGGAGCGGUGAAAUGCGUAGAUAUCGGAAGGAACGCCGGUGGCGAAAGCGAUCUGCUGGACCCUUUCUGACGCUGAUGCGCGAAAGCCAGGGGAGCAAACGGG